UUUAGUUGGUCUAUAGAUGGACGGCUUAAAAGAAUAACUCCAUAGCAGAAAAAAUAACAAAUAAAAAAAACGGAUGAAGGAGGAUACACAUUGGUCAACUACCUCAUCUAAUACCCCAGAAGCUCUUGAUCUCAUGAACCCAAAUUCAGCAUCUGCAAAUUGACAGUUUAUUGUUGGGUACUAAUGAGAGGAAUCCACUUCAACAAAGAUGCUACCAAAGGAAAUUAGUGCACAGAUUAAUUGGAUUAGCUGGAAAGAGAAAAUUGGAAUUAUAGAAAAAAUGUCAGGACCCACCCCGAAUUUUAUCUUAAAACCUGGAGUAAGUCCUACGGGGACCACUCCCAAGAAAAGAUUUAUCGAAAAAUUUGCAAAACCUCCAUUGAAAAUGGACAACCCUAACCUGAAAAAUUUCAAAUUUACACUCCUAUUAAAACACAUCCAAUCUUAACUCUUGGAGCCAUCCGCUUCCCGCAAACACAACCACCACAAUAUCAACAAUACAUCAACAUCCAAACAUCACACAAAUAUCCAGCUAAAACAGUAAACCUUAUCCUUCAGAUACUCUAAACAAAAAUCAACAGACCAAGCACACCACCGAAAUAAUUUACAUUAAUCCCAAAGUAUUCAGAGCUACUAGAUACUAGCGGAAGCAAGAAAACACGGGUAGGUUAAACAAGUAACCUACUGGUGAAAAGUGGUGGAAAUGCGGGUGACUAUGCCUCGCCUCCUAUUAGAUCCAACCCGAACUCUGCAGACUGUGCAUUUUAAAACGAAGGGCCCAGGGGUAAACAUUUGAAAACGUUAGAGUGAGUGGACAAAGAUAAAUUAAUAAAUAAAAUAUUUAUGUUUCCCCAAAUCAAUUUCCAAGGAAAAAUCGAAUGCAUGCUGCAAAGGAUAAAACUUUUAUCUCAUAAAAUAUCGAGCAUGUCAGACUCUAAAAUAUAUGUAUGUAUUUACACAUGUCCAUACUCCCUAUAUAAAUUCAUGGGUCUAUAUAGGGCUACUACGCUCGCGUCUAACGCUCACGUCACCCCUUAAUGCGGUGCUACACUACGCCAUUAAGGUGGAUAAACGAGUGUAUAAAUAUGUGUCCAUACCCCCUAUAUGAAUUAAACACUCAUAUAGGGCUACUACGCUCACGUCAUACCAUAAUGCAGCUAUAUGCUACGCCAUUAAGGUGGACAUACACAUAUGGCUAGCUAGCAUUUAUAUACAUACUCUCCUCAUAAAUACAUAUUUAUAUUCACCGAAAAUCCCAUUUUCGGUAACUCUCUAAGAGAAAUAAAAUCGUCAAAAUUAAAAUGACGUCAAAUGUUCCAACAAAACUAAUUAUUCAUCCAUGAACCAUAGCAUGCAUAUUAUUUAAAACAAAAGUCCACUCACAAAUUAGGCCUAAGCCUGAUGUAGAUCUGAGGCCUCUUCUGCUCGAGCCUCCUCACGUCCUGUUCCAAAUAUAUAACUAAAUUACCAACAAAAAAUCCAAUACUUACUCAAAAAUAGGCAAAAUAAAUAUGAGCUGUAACCACGCUCAUUCUCGCCUAACUUCGAUAUUCCUAAACCGAAACAAUCCAAACUUUAAUACCAAAAUCGGCAGCCGUAACACAACCUCCCACAGAUUUAACGACUUUAAUCUUACGGCCGGAUUCUACAUUAAUUAACCGCCAAAAAUACCAAACUUCGGAAAUUCACAAACCUAAUCAAAACUCCUCCAAAAAUUCCAUAAUUCACAUCAAUAAACUCCUCUUAAUAUUCCACAUUUAAAACCAUCAAAAUCUCCCAAAUAGCGACGGCCGGAGGCCGACUCCGGCGACCUCCAAUGAUACGAAUUACCUAGGUGUUACUACUAAUAGCGGAAUUAUUAAUAGCACUAAGUCACACAGGUAACGUAGGUCGAAGAAAAUAUAUUCCUCUCUUAUUAUUGUGCAAAAGAGUACAAUGAUUAUUGUCUAAUGCCUUCUCUCACAAUAACACUCUAGCUCUCUGAUUCGCUCUCUUCUAAACAGAUGUUGUUUCUGUUUCACUCUGGUGUCUAGAACUAAAUUAGGCACCUCUAUUUAUAGAGUCUAACUCUAUAAAUUCUUAUCUAACUUGGAAACUACUCAUUAACUAAGUUAGACAACUAUUCCUUUUCAAGCUAGAAAGCUAUGUACUUAACUAACUUGGAGAAGGAAUCACUAAUUCCUAAAAGCUAAAGGAUACAACUGUAUCAUGGCUCCCCCUUUUAGGAACUUAAACUCCCGUUUAAGUUAAAACUGGAGAUUAGGAAACUCAAGAGUUCCCUUCUCUUUGCUGAACCAUUUAGCCUUGCUUGGAACCUGACAUGCAUGCCCAAUGCGAAACACUGCUCGUUCCCCUCGACGUGUCAUAGCCACUUGACGCUCCAAAAUACAAUCUGUCGGCAACAGAUCCUCUUUAAGGCGCUCUUUACUCCGUCUUAACCAUACUAAGUCGCUAAUACCAAAGUUACAAGGUCUGAUCUUGUACUUUGCUUGUGACUUCUUCAAUUUUGUCUUCUCAACAUCUUGACUUGAGUGCCCUUCAUGUGGACAUGUCAACAAGACAAAUUUCCUGCAAGCAUUGACUAAUCUUUUAGCCUGAGUCGCUGCUACCAAGCUUGUCUUUGGUGGGAGGGACGCCGCCCGAAUAACGAAUCGUUGUCCGUCUUUCGUAAAUGUGUACUUCUGAGCCUUCCUCUCGUAGAUAGCAUCUCUAUCCCAUAAGUAAGGAUUUCCCAGAAUCACUUGACAAACAUCCAAUGGCACCACAUCGCAUGUCACUUCGUCGAUGUAAGAUUCAUGAAGAGUAAACUUGAAUGUGCAUUGACUGGUACUACUUAGUCCCGUGUCCUUCUGAAUCCAUCCUAAUGGAUAUGGCUUCGGAUGUUUGACCGUUUGAAGACCUAACUUUUGAACCAAAGCUUCAGAGAUAAGGUUCUUCUGACUUCCCGGAUCCACAAUGGCAUCAACUAAACUGGUCUUCACCUGCAGCUUUACAACAAAAAGCUGCUCCCUGCGGUUCUCGUCGUCGUUCCCUAACUGUGUUCCUGCCAUAAGGUUGAGCUUCGCAUUUAGUUCUGUCAUUCCUGGUACUUCUUUUGCCUCGUUUGUGAUUAAUGUUGUCUUCUUCCUCUCCUCCUUAUGCCGUAACACACUUGGUUUAAGGUGAGGAAACUUCACCCAACACUUAUCUGCCACGUGUCUUGUUCCUUUGCAGUGAAUGCAAACCAAACAUUCUUUCCCAUCUGACUCACCAUUCUCAUGCUCCUCCUUUUUGACAUAGGAAUCAUUGGACUUACCCACAGUCUGUUUUCCAUCUCCCUUGGUUUCGUUCCUCUUGAACUUCAUCUCAAUGGCGAUGGCUUUUUCACUAGCUCCUUCAACGGAUUGUACCGUGAACAAACUCAACUCCCUUUGGAUGUACUCAUGCAGUCCUGCUUUGUACUUCGUAAAUACCGAAUACUCCGUCAAGGAUAUAUCUAGAAUCGUAGCUUGAUUCUGGAAUUCGGUAGUGUAAUCCUGCACGGGCUGAUUGGUUUUCUGACGCAAGUUAUGCCACUUGUGCCAACGUUCCUCCAGAAACCCUACUGGAUAGAACUUCUUUCUAAGCAAUUCUUUGAAUUGCUUCCACGACACUACCUCCUCAUCACUAUUCCUUCGGUAGGACUUCCACCAAGUUAAAGCAUGAGAUGAUAGUUUCAGAGUCGCACAGGUGAUCUUCUCUUGCGAUGUAAAACGAUGGAACGUAAAAUAUGUGUCAAGCCGCUCAAUCCAGUCGUCCAACUUGUCAACAUUGACGCUGCCAUCGUACAUCGGAACUUCAAUCUUGAAAUCAAUCUUUAAGUUUCGAAAAGAACUCCUUCCUUCUUGUUGCGAGGUUUUGCUGGCAGUGUCAAACUCGUCAUCUGAUCCUGUCUUUGCUUGUUCUUCUUGCGACUCCGAAUUCGUUUCCUUCGGCUUCUCCGGUGAUUCCUUCAAUAGCAACUGUUUGACAAGACCGAUCAAUUCUGCAAUUGCAGUGUUUGACGCAGCCAUCUGCUUCUCCAACGCAGCAAGUCUUUCUUUCUCUGGUGUUUCAUCACCCAUCUUCUUUCCUCUUGAUCUUGUGGUAUUUUCCAAAGACACAAGAGAUUUUCCUAGCUUUCUGUAAAGUGAACGAGUUAGGACCAUACACCACAAGACUCCCCACGGAUACGGUUAGCUCUUAUUACCAACUUGAUACGAAUUACCUAGGUGUUACUACUAAUAGCGGAAUUAUUAAUAGCACUAAGUCACACAGGUAACGUAGGUCGAAGAAAAUAUAUUCCUCUCUUAUUAUUGUGCAAAAGGGUACAAUGAUUAUUGUCUAAUGCCUUCUCUCACAAUAAACUACCAGAAUACAGCCCCUGUUUUGGCCUGCAGUCUUUUAAUGGUGUCCCACCUGGCAUAUAGAAAGAAUGUCUUACAUACAACGUUGUCAAAACGAAAGCCACCAAAAGAACACUAAUGGAACUUGCCUUUUUAUUUGGUACCUGUAUCUGAAUUUGUUAUGCAGCUACAACUACCUAUGCAGUAGCAAACCCUUUAGGUACCAGAGAAGGAGAACCCCCUGCAUCAGCCUACCAAAAUGUACAUUGAUUAAGGACUGUCAAACCUAUAUUUGUUUGUUGAUUAUUUUCUAUUCAAUAAUGCAGCUAAUACCAAAGAUAGUGGUCUACAAAAACUAACAUGAACUGUAUUAUCUAUGGAGAUCAUAUCAAGCAAUGGAGUGUAAUACCAGUCAACACUAUAUGAGAACCCAUAAGACUUUCUCUAUCUCUGAAUGGAGAUUCUCCUUUCUCUGCGCAAGUUAUAUACAAACCAAAGAAGUAAAAAGAAUCAGCAAUGACAUUUGUAAAUUCAGAUUAAAGAAAAUAGUGCAUUUGUCAGCAACUUAGCAUACCUUG
This 4921-nucleotide long non-coding RNA is filed under the name Fragaria vesca (wild strawberry). Its description in RNAcentral is "long non-coding RNA (FVES_LNC001801)". The record is from RNAcentral. Lineage: Eukaryota; Viridiplantae; Streptophyta; Magnoliopsida; Rosales; Rosaceae.